Molecule: ribosomal RNA, 2716 nt
Filed under: Acanthamoeba castellanii
Lineage: Eukaryota; Discosea; Longamoebia; Acanthamoebidae
Description: LSU rRNA
Rfam family: Bacterial large subunit ribosomal RNA
Source: RNAcentral
UUGAUAUAAAUACAAAUAAGUAAUUAUAUAAAAAUUAUAGGGUAAAUAACGAAUAUCUUAUAGCAUAAAAGUUUCUGGCGUCUAAUCGAACGAAAUAUACAAUGAGUCGAAAAAUUACUUAGAAUUGUAAAUUCCAGCAGAGAAAUCUAACAUUUAAAUAUUGUUCUUACCUAAUUAAGUGAAACAUCUCAAUAGUUAGAGGAAAGAAAAAUAAUUAAAGAUUUUGUUAGUAAUGGUGAGUGAAAACAAAGUAGCCAAAAUUUAAAUUUAAGAAAUUAGAAGUUUUAUAUGAUUUAAGCGCCACAGAAGGUGAAAGCCCUUUAUAUUUUUCUUAUUUUUAUUUAAAACAAAACAGUAAAAUAGAAUCUGUGAAAUUCUAUUGGAAGAAGGCAAACCCAUUUGCUAAGGCUAAAUAUACUUUUAUGACUAAUAGUGAACAAGUACUGUGAAGGAAAGAUGAAAAGACUAAGUUAAAAGAUCUUGAAAUUGUUUACCUUAAGGAUCUAAAGCACAGAAAUGUGUUAUAGGGUGCCUUUUGCAUAAUGAGCGGGCGAUUUCUAAAGAGCUAGCAAACUAUAGUCGUUAGACAAAGGUGAAGUGAAAGCGAGCUUUAAUUAAGCGCUAAGUUAGUUUUUUGAGACUCGAUACUAAGCGAUCUAUUUACUGCCAGAUUGAAAGUACUUUGAUACGUACUGAAGGAUCGAACCCAUGUAUGUUGCAUAAUACCGGGAUGAGUGGUAGCUAGGGGUGAAAGGCUAAUCAAGCUUAGUGUUAGCUAGUACUCUACGAAAUCUAUUUAGGUAGAGCGUUUUGUUUACAUUAUUGUUGGUAGAGCUCUAGGUAAGUAAUGGGAAUUAAUACUUCUACUGAGUUUACUUAAACUGCGAAUGACAAUAAAUUCUUUUUACAGAACAGGCAGAUUGCGGGCGCGAAGGUUCGUAAUCAAAAGGGAAACAGCCCAGAAUAUCAGCUAAAGUCCAUAAAAAUAAUUAAGUGUAUGAAAUAAUUCAAAGUGUUAUAACGAUUAGGAGGUUGGCUUAGAAGCAGCCAUCCUUUAAAGAAAGCGUAACAGCUCACUAAUUUUAUAAAAGCAUUAUAGAGUUUUAUGAUAUAACGGACUAAAAUUAUUUACUAAAGCUAUAUGUAAAUCGGUAGUAGAGUAUCUUAUAUUUAACAAGGUGAAUUCGUGAGAGUUUACUGAUAUAUUAAGAGAAAGUAUGCCUGUAUGAGUAGCAAAGAAUAGUGAGAAACUAUUCCACCGUAUAUAUAAGGUUUCCUAUUUAUAAAUUUAUUUUAAUAGGGUUAAUCGGCCCCUAAGUUUUAUAAUGAAAAUUAUAGGCGAUGGGUUUUGGGUUAAAAUUCUCAAAUUUUUCAGCAAGUGACAAAGGCGGCAAAUUAUCCAAUUUUAGUUAAUUGAUUGGGUAGUUAGGACCUUUCUGGAAAAAGCUCUGAAGUAAAAAAACCGUACUUAAAUCGGCUCCGAUAUUUUAAUAGAGUAUAUUAAGGUGAUAGGAUAAUAAUAUUGAAGGAACUCGGCAAAAUAGCUCCGUAACUUCGGGAGAAGGAGUACCUUUCGUAAGCAAUUACUUAUAGGUGUAACAGAAUAGAGGGUAGCGACUGUUUACUAAAAACACAGGACUCCGCUAAGUUGUAAAACGAUGUAUAGGGUCUGACACCUGCCCGGUGCUGAAAGACAAAAAGGAUUGGUAGAAAUGCCAUGAAUAUAAAUCUCAGUAAACGGCGGCUGUAACCAUAACGGUCCUAAGGUAGCGAAAUUCCUUGUCGGGUGAGUUCCGACCUGCAUGAAUGGUGUAACGACUUCCCUACUGUCUCCAGUAUUAGCCUAGUGAAAUUAAACUUGCUGUGAAGAUGCAGUAUAUAAAUGAUUGGACGGAAAGACCCUGUACACCUUUACUAUAAUCAUAAAUUGUUUUUAAAGUAUUGAAUAUGUAGAAUAAACAGUCAGCUUAUUACUCUUUAACGCUAGUUAAUUGUUGAGGCGCCGGUGAAAUACUGUUUUUUUAAUCUUUAAAACUAACUAAAAUUUUUAGGAUAUUUUAUGACUGGUAGUUUGACUGGGGUGGUCGCCUUCUAAAUAGUAACGAAGGCGUGCAAAUGGUAAUAAUGAUUAAUCAAAAAUUAAUCGAAAACUUAAUGGUAAAAGAUUGCUUGACUGAGUAGAUUGACAGAUCGAGUCAGAGACGAAAGUCGGCCAUAGUGAUCCAAUAGUGCUGAAUGGAAGGGCUAUUGCUUAACGGAUAAAAGGUACGUCAGGGAUAACAGGCUAAUGGGCCCUAAGAGUCCUUAUCGACGGGCUUGUUUGGUACCUCGAUGUCGACUCAUCACAUCCUGGAGCUGCAGGCGGUUCCAAGGGUUAGGCUGUUCGCCUAUUAAAGUGGUACGUGAGUUGGGUUUAGAACGUCGUGAGACAGUUCGGUUCCUAUCUGUCAUUUUAAUAAAAACUAAAAAAAUGUUUCUUUUGUACGAGAGGAUUGGGAAAUGUAUACCACUGGUAAAUCGAUUGUAUUGUUAAUGGCAUUGUCGAGUAGCUACGUAUAAAUUUUAUAAUUGCUGAUAGCGUAUAAGCAAGAAAAUAAUUUUUAUGUUUUUUUAAGCGGUCGUAGAUAAUGACUUUUAUAGGCGCGAAAUUAAAUUUGGUGACGAAUCGUUUACGCGUACUAAUUUUGUAUUUUUGUAUAUGACUUUUUUGCAAUUU